ACUGCUCAGUAACACGUGGAUAACCUGCCCUAAGGAAGGGGAUAACCUCGGGAAACUGAGGAUAAUACCCUAUAGGUUACAGACGCUGGAAUGCCCUGUAACCGAAAGUUCCGGCGCCUUAGGAUGGAUCUGCGGCCGAUUAGGUUGUUGUUGGGGUAACGGCCCAACAAGCCGAUAAUCGGUACGGGUUGUGGGAGCAAGAGCCCGGAGUUGGAUUCUGAGACAUGAAUCCAGGCCCUACGGGGCGCAGCAGGCGCGAAAACUUUACAAUGCGGGAAACCGUGAUAAGGGAACCCCGAGUGCCUGUAUAUGCAGGCUGUCCAGGUGUCUAAAAAACACCUGAAGAAAGGGUCGGGCAAGACCGGUGCCAGCCGCCGCGGUAAUACCGGCGGCUCGAGUGGUGGCCACUUUUAUUGGGCUUAAAGCGUUCGUAGCUGGGUUGUUAAGUCUCUUGGGAAAUCUGACGGCUCAACCGUCAGGCGUCCAAGGGAUACUGGCAAUCUUGGAACCGGGAGAGGUGAGGGGUACUUCGGGGGUAGGAGUGAAAUCCUGUAAUCCUCGAGGGACCACCUGUGGCGAAGGCGCCUCACCAGAACGGCUUCGACAGUGAGGGACGAAAGCUGGGGAGCAAACCGGAUUAGAUACCCGGGUAGUCCCAGCCGUAAACGAUGCGCGUUAGGUGUAUCGGUGACCACGAGUCACCGAGGUGCCGAAGGGAAACCGUGAAACGUGCCGCCUGGGAAGUACGGUCGCAAGGCUGAAACUUAAAGGAAUUGGCGGGGGAGCAC
Molecule: ribosomal RNA, 788 nt
Filed under: Methanoculleus sp. enrichment culture clone L55A_5
Lineage: Archaea; Methanobacteriati; Methanobacteriota; Methanomicrobia; Methanomicrobiales; Methanomicrobiaceae
Description: bacterial SSU rRNA
Rfam family: Archaeal small subunit ribosomal RNA
Source: RNAcentral